GGCAGUGAGAGCUCGGUGGUUAAGGUGUUAGACUACUGUUUGGAAGGUUUUGAGUUCAAAACCCAGCAAUGCCA
Non-coding RNA from Ameiurus melas (black bullhead), 74 nucleotides. The record is from the annotation of a GenBank genome assembly. NCBI's taxonomy places the organism in Eukaryota, Metazoa, Chordata, Actinopteri, Siluriformes, Ictaluridae.